Non-coding RNA from Pelobates cultripes (western spadefoot toad), 247 nucleotides. Lineage: Eukaryota; Metazoa; Chordata; Amphibia; Anura; Pelobatidae. The record is from the annotation of a GenBank genome assembly.
GGGAGACAAGGUUGCAAGCAUUGUCUGUUUCUGGAACUUUAAAUUUAUUUUACAAUGAAUUCUAAAGAAGGUCAUUUUUUUUUUUUUCUUUUUUUUUUUAGUUCGUACACUUCAGUUGCUGUAACUAAGCCAUUUCAUGAAAUAACUGGCAAAAAGCUAGAUCCAUUUGUUAAGAACUAAUAUUUUGACUCAAACCAAAAAAAAAGUAUUUUAAGUUCUUAAUCAGAUGAUACAGGCAAUUAAAAAC